Molecule: non-coding RNA, 46 nt
Organism: Schistosoma mansoni
Lineage: Eukaryota; Metazoa; Platyhelminthes; Trematoda; Strigeidida; Schistosomatidae
Source: Rfam
GCAUUGCUAAGGAAUCCCAUAAUAGGACGAAACGGCCGUCCAGUGU